This is an RNA transcript of Triticum aestivum (bread wheat), 4826 nucleotides long. RefSeq lists it as uncharacterized. The transcript has 10 exons. The record is from RefSeq and is a predicted model, not a curated record. Lineage: Eukaryota; Viridiplantae; Streptophyta; Magnoliopsida; Poales; Poaceae.
UUAACUGCUCCAUUUGCGGCGCUCUGUCUUUAUUUUCUCUCGCCGGAACUGCUUUUUUCGCCAUAGGGCAGACGUUGCGGCGCCGUCACCAACUAUCGCUUCUAACCCUAACCAACCGGCCGGCGGGCGGUGGUAUUCGUCGGAAGCACGAGACGGCUUGUUUUUGUUCUUCCUCGCGCGGAGGAAGUCGUCUUCAUCCCCGCCGUUGGAGCUGCAAGGGGAUCUCGCAUGUUCUCCGGGUAGAGGCUGCGGGGUGUAUGAGGUGUUUUUUUUUUCUCGUGAUGAGUUUGAUUGGAAGGGUUUCCAGCUGUGGUAAUGUGGUAGUUGAUGCUGCUGCGGUAGCUUUGGCCAAGGUGUCACUUGUUAAUGGUGAAGGCGGUGGUGGGAAUGCAGGUGAAGGGGGUGGUAUGGUUGAUAGCAAAGCAAAUGCUAGUGGAAUAAAUGAGUCGUGCAAAGUCGAUGGUGUCUUCUGCUCUCCUCAUAUCGGUGCCGACAGUGUUGAAGGUAUUUCGUCGCCGAAUGUUAACGAUUUCAUCAUGCAAUCUUGCCAUGACAUCAAUGCCCAACAUGUUGCGCCUAAUUCCCCACUGACGCACAACAUGGUUGCGCCUCCCAAUGUGAACCAUGUAGAGCUUCCGAUGGGGACAACUUUUUGUGCAAUCUGACUCCAGUGUGGUGUGAUACGCAAUCGCAGUCAGUCAUUGGCAAUGAGAUUGUUACACAGGAUUAUAUGGUCUCACAACAGUUAAGGAAUGAGGAGAUAAGGCAGCUAGAGAAGCGGAAUUUUUUUUCAGAGAAAGUUGAUGCUCAUGAGAGGAAGAAGCGGUUGAGGCUCCCCAAAGGUCUAGUUGAUACCUCAAAUGUCACCAGCAAUGCUCAUGUUCCGGAUACAGGAGCUGGAGUCCGUGUGCAGGUUGGCACAUCACGGGAUCCUGCCAGUGGUGUAGCCAGUAAGACUGUUGUUCCAUCUCCGCGUCGGAGUCCACGCAUUGCCAGUGGUCCAGUGGUUGAUCGUGUCUAUCCGAGUAUUAAACUUGGUGGAAAGCGUUGUUCAAAAGCUGGAGGUGAUUUUGUAGGAGGUCCUUCUUUUGAUGGCAUUGGGCUCGACGGGGCUAAUGUUGUUCAUAGGAAGCGCCGGCCUAAGGUUGUUGGGAGUGGACCAAAGAAGAAGGUUGCAAAGUCUGCGGUGUCAAACGCUGGUGCUUGUGAUAGGAUCAAUGUAACUGUUCGCUGUUCUUUGGGAGAGGUUUCUGAGGCGGCUGCUCUGCUUGAGACACGACAUAGAGAUAUUCUUUGUAAGGCUGGUUUUGGUUGUGUAUUUAACUGGGUCUUGAAGGGCAAUGUGUUGCAUCUUCUGAUGUGCCACUUGAUGAAGAAGAUUGACACGGCCACGAUGCGGAUUGACUGUGGCCCUAAUAAAGUUCUUGUAGUCAGCAGAGAAGCCGUGCAUCAGGCUUUUUGGUUCCCCAUGGGUGAUGACACAGCUCCCAGGACAGCUGAUAGCGGCCAUGACGAGUCAAUGGCUAGAUUUAAGGCAGAGUUGGGUUUCAGCAAAGCUUCUGUGGCAGCUUGUAGUCGAUGAGUCAAAGGAUGCGCUUGCUGUAAAGGUUUUCUUUGCUAUCCUUUUUUCAAAGAUGAUAUGCCCAGGUCCUGCUGUCCGUGUAGGCAGGGAGGCGGCAAUGCUAGAUGGUAUUGUUUUUGAAGAUAUGGCAACGAUGGAUUUUUGCCAGUUAGUAGUGGAUGAGUUAAAGCGUGCAGCUAUCAGAUGGCAAGAUCCAAAUAUCAUUCAAGCAGGUCCAGAAGGUUGUGGAGUAGUGCUAGUCCUUAUGUAUCUUGAUUGUUGCCUACUGAAGGCCGUGUCUGUGAUGCAUGUGCAGACUCCGCGUGCAAAUUUCCUGACAGAGAAGGUGCUAAAUUCAAUUUUCUUGAAAGAUAUUGUAAAGAAGGGUGGGAAAAUUUUGGACGGCUAUGUUUUUGGAAAACUUGGGGUGAGUUUUUCAACUUUCAUGUGUUCUUUACAUCUUCUAUGUAUUUUUCGUGCGACUUUAAUGGCUUACAUGUUUUUUUUGUAAUUGUUUUUUUGUAAGUAUUCUUAAGUGUAUAAAUUUUAGCUAACCCCCCCUAUCACGUGGAGCUAACUGUUGUCUUUCAAAUUUAUUUUUGUUGGAAGUUAACAUUUAUUUUUCUCCUUUUGUUUAAAUUAUGCGUGGACGUAACUGCUUUGUUAGAGUUUUUACAGAGAGUUAACUGCGUGAAGCAUUGUUCUCAACUUCUGUAGCUAUCUUUUUUUUUUUGUGUGUUGUGUUUUUGUGGAAUCCUAUUUUGUUUUCAUGUGCUCAGUGGAAAUCCCGUAACCAGAUUGCAUAUUGCCAGCAAGUUCCCCUGGGCAAAGUCGUGAUCGCGCUUUUCCUGAUGCACAUGUCCCUACCUGCGCGCCAAAACAACAUGCACAGGAUGAGGCUGGUUGUAGCCAGAAUGCAGAUGUAGCUUUUAAAGUACAAAAAUCGAGUAAUGCCAUGGAAGAUGAUGGUGUAUUUACGAAGAUUGAUGGCUUAUUACGGAAGGUGGAUGAGUUGGCCGCUGAAGUUCCCACGACGUCUGAUCGGCUGGGCUGCAUUGCUGGCAUUUUCCUUGAAGGUCAUGGACCAAGGGAAGAAUCAAUGAAGGAGGCUACAGAGCGUGAUGUUGCUAGCAUUGGUAGUAUCCGGAGCGUGACAUCACACAUUUGCACCGCUUUCAAUGACUUGAAGAAGAAACAAGAUGCCAUAUGCAAAGGCUUUGAAAAUGAUGCUCGUAUUAUUGUGAGUCAGAUUAGCAAGCAGAAGAAUGACGUGUCUGCCCCUGUACGUGGCGAUGAUUGUACCGGGCAACGGGGUGAGGAGGUUGUUGUGAAUGCGCCUGAUGAUGAUGAAGAUGAGAAGCAAGAGCCCCCUGCUGAAUCUCCUCCGCAUGAUUUUAGUGACGACAAUGCCAUUGAUGACGACUUGCUGGGUGGUGAUUCUGAUGGGGGUUGCAAGGGUGUUGACGACAUCGUUGAUUAUAUGGAGGGAGUUUUUGCACCAGACCAGCCCGUAGCCCAAGGUGAUUGCGACAAAUCUAAUGAGCCAAAGCUUGGUCAGCAAGUUCAUCCGGGUAGUGUUGGCAUUUCUGAAGGGAAGCACGUUGGUUUUGAUUGCCAAGGCAACGUAUCAGUUACGAUUGAAGGUGGUUUAGAAUUUGAAGAUCAUGCUUCAAAUGAAUCUAGCCAGGUUGUCGCUCACAAUGUUGAUCGUGGUUCAGGUUUGCUUGAUGGUAGACAGGCACCUGAAGGUGCUUGUGAGAGUGUGUUUGUCAUGGAUGGCGUUGGUGAUGGUGUCAAUCAUGCAGCAAGUUGUGAAGGAAAACAAGUGUUGAGGGAUACAUCUAUGCCUGAAAGCACUGGAGCCGGAGGUGAUGUAUUUCCUAUUCCGGUCCGCGAAAUGCAUGUUGUUGACGGAGCAUGUGCAUCGAACAAGGAUGCGAAGCCUACUGUUGUUUUUGAAUUUCUGAAGGAUGCUACAGUUGUUGACACCCACCCAGGUGGUGUUGCUCAUGCUACUGUAGCAGGCCCCAAGGACGCAAGUGUUUUAAAUGUCUCAUGUGCUAGACAAAUCAAAUGUUGACCAUGGUGCAUCUGCUCCUGCGAGACUUUCAGGGAAUCCUGUAGAAGUUCCCGAGGGGUUAGCUGCAAAGCUGAAAGAUAUAAUUUCAAAAGCUGCGAUGCGCGGUAAUUAUAGUGCUGAGCCUCAGCCUGAAGUUGAACCCAACGUUGACGAAGUUGGUGCUGAUGGCGCUUCUGAGGAGACAGAUAGUGAUGACUUGGGAGUGUCAAUAAAUGAGAUAGAUUCAUCUCAAACAGUCUCCAGUUUUACGCAAACCCCGGCCACACCUGAAGCGGUGCAACGCAUGAAGGACUUAUACUUUGCUGUUAUGAGGUUAAGGAAGGACAAGAAUAAAAAGUAUGUACCAAACGACUUAUACUUUGCUGUUAUGAGGUUAAGGAAGGACAAGAAUAAAAAGGAUGAGGUGCUGUUUGAGAAUGCGUUUUGCAAAGCAACUGUCAAGCAGUUUGCUGAGUUUUUCAGAGUUGGUGGCAUGCUGAACACUGCGGUUGCUGCUGUAGGAAUUUUUCUUCUUCAUUCGAAAUACCAAAAUUCUUCUAAGAUGGUGGCUCCAUUUCAUAUUUCGCAAUCUAUCUGGAAGGGGUCCUUUGAUAAUAGGCACUUGAUCAGAUUUUUCUCUGCCUAUGCCGAUGAGCCGCUGGAUAAGAAGGAUAUUGUACUCUUUGGUGUCUUUGACCCUCCAGCUACCAGGGAAGGUGCGGGGCACUAUUGUGUAGUUGCGCUAAACAUUAAGCAUCGUCGUUUUGAGCUGCUUGAUUCUUGGCACCUUCCCGGUACUGAGAGUGGCAUAAGGGUCAUAAACAGGAUGGCGAAGAACAUUAAGCAGCUUUGGAGGAAUGGCUCGUCUGAGCGCAAGAAGAAGAAGUUGGAUCCGGCAAACAUUGACCAUUUCCGUUUGCAACAUGCCGUUGUGCCCCAGCAGGAAAACCCUACCGAUUGUGGUUUUUUCAUGAAUGAACUGCUGGAGACAUAUGAUGAUGAGAGUUAUGUGAAGGAAAUAUGCCCUAGAGGCAAUAAUAAAGUUCUUAUUUAUUUUCUUAUAUCAUGAUAAAUGUUUAUUAUUCAUGCUAGAAUUGUAUUAACCGGAAACAUGAUACAUGUGUGAAUACAUAGACAAACAGAGUGUCACUAGUAUGCCUCUACUUGACUAGCUCGUUGAUCAAAGAUGGUUAUGUUUCCUAGCCA